GAUGAAGAACGUAGCGAAAUGCGAUAAGUAGUGUGAAUUGCAGAAUUCAGUGAAUCAUCGAAUCUUUGAACGCACAUUGCGCCCCUUGGUAUCCCGAGGGGCAUUCCUGUUCGAGCGUCAUUUCACCACUCAAGCCUGGCUUGGUGUUGGGCGACGUCCUCUUUGGGGACGCGCCUCGAAACGCUCGGCGGCGUGGCACCGGCUUUAAGCGUAGCAGAAUCUUUCGCUUUGGAAGUCGGGGCCCCGUCUGCCGGAAGACCUGCUCGCAAGGUUGACCUCGGAUCAGGCAGGGAUACCCGCUGAACUUAAGCAUAUCAAUAAGCGGAGGA
Molecule: unclassified non-coding RNA, 329 nt
Filed under: soil metagenome
Description: partial contains 5.8S ribosomal RNA, internal transcribed spacer 2, and large subunit ribosomal RNA
Rfam family: 5.8S ribosomal RNA (bases 1-120)
Source: RNAcentral